UUCACUACCUGCAGCCUGCUUUUCACUGGUCUUCACAUGAGGAGAGACAGAUAAUGGCUGCUAGAGGUGAUGACGCCGGUGCUGGAGUAGACAGCUAGCUGAUGUACAUGGACUUCUAUACAUGGCUGCCUGCCACAGACGUCUACAGUCAUUUUGCAUCCAAUUUAACCACCCUCAGUAACUCUUACUGUCUGGCUGUAAAAAGUCACCUGGCCCAAGUUCCAGCCGUCUUCACCAAUGUAAUCAUCAUUUCCAUAAUAGAAAAUGGUACUAUCACUUAGAACAUAUUCUUCCCUUUCUGACUCAUCAGCCAGAUAAACGUCAUCAUCUGAAAAGACAGGUUCCUUAAAUUAGUGGAGCUGAUAUUAAUAUGUUUUUUGUGUUACCAAUCCUAUAGUAAUUGGCUUCAGUAAAUACAUAAAU
Molecule: long non-coding RNA, 423 nt
Organism: Pseudophryne corroboree (corroboree frog)
Lineage: Eukaryota; Metazoa; Chordata; Amphibia; Anura; Myobatrachidae
Exons: 3
Source: RefSeq, a predicted model, not a curated record